Molecule: ribosomal RNA, 466 nt
Filed under: uncultured bacterium
Lineage: Bacteria
Description: bacterial SSU rRNA
Rfam family: Bacterial small subunit ribosomal RNA
Source: RNAcentral
GACGAACGCUGGCGGCGCGCCUAACACAUGCAAGUCGAACGGAGCUUAGAGAGUUUGCUUUUUAAGCUUAGUGGCGAACGGGUGAGUAACGCGUGAGUAACCUGCCCUAGAGUGGGGGACAACAGUUGGAAACGACUGCUAAUACCGCAUAAGCCCACGGUACCGCAUGGUACUGAGGGAAAAGGAUUUAUUCGCUUUAGGAUGGACUCGCGUCCAAUUAGCUAGUUGGUGAGGUAACGGCCCACCAAGGCGACGAUUGGUAGCCGGACUGAGAGGUUGAACGGCCACAUUGGGACUGAGACACGGCCCAGACUCCUACGGGAGGCAGCAGUGGGGGAUAUUGCACAAUGGGGGAAACCCUGAUGCAGCGACGCCGCGUGGAGGAAGAAGGUUUUCGGAUUGUAAACUCCUGUCGUUAGGGACGAUAAUGACGGUACCUAACAAGAAAGCACCGGCUAACUACGUG